This is a long non-coding RNA of Passer domesticus (house sparrow), 6973 nucleotides long. RefSeq lists it as uncharacterized. The record is from RefSeq and is a predicted model, not a curated record. Lineage: Eukaryota; Metazoa; Chordata; Aves; Passeriformes; Passeridae. The transcript is spliced from 3 exons.
UCCGGCCCCGGCCCGCAGCGGGCAGAGGGGACCGAGGUGCCGGUUCUCUCUCGUGUGCAGGGCGCCUGCCCUGGGCCGCGCGUUCUCCUGCAAAACGCCUUGAAAGUGUAAUUUGCAAGGCCUUUUUCGCAUGUCACGCUGAAAUGAUUGUUUCUUGCUGUUCAAAGGGAAAACAAAAGCUGUAGUAGUAGAGCUGAGGAUGCGGACAUGGCAUGCAGCCUUUUAUAUGCGCAGGGUAAAGGCUCCUGCUGAAUUUUAGGAGAAAACCAUCUUAGUUUGUAUUUGGAUUUCCUUCAAAGUUUGUUAAGACUCAAGGCAAGCAAUAUUAUUAAACAGUAUUUAAAUGUCAGUAAGUAUACUGCAAGUCUUAGUUUCUGUGCUGGCUGGUUUUAGUAACUAUUAUAAUUUCAAAGACAGAUAUACUCUCCUGAAACCAACAUAAAAAGGCUAGUGGUUAUGAAGAGAAUUGGCCAUGCCGGUGACCAAGAAAUAUAAGUACGCCUAUAGAGCUUGAUUUAAUUGCAUUCAUGAGCUACGUACAAGAUGUUUCCAUGGUAUCUGCAUGAGGCAGCUGCUCCUGAUUUUUGCCUUGAAGUUGAUUUCCAGUCUGCCUGUUUUAUAAACAAAGUUUCCUUCCGAGAAGAAAGUAAAGAGAAAAAAACUAUCGGAAAAACAAACAGCUGGGAAUGACAAGCUGAGGGAAAAAAUGAAGAGGACGUAUCACCUACUGGGGGAAAGUAAGGACAGGGAGAGAGAGCAAAACCUCUGGCAGAGGACUUCCAGUAAUGACCAUCCUUCCUUGUAGGUAGUCUUGGGCACAGUUGGUGGAGGACCUUUGUUCCAUUGGUUUUUUGCUUUGUUUUACCUGGUAGUGUGUGAUAUUAGCAUGUGUCUCCUAUUACUUUAACAUGAUGGCAUAGUGUGAUUUACAGCUAAGUUCAGAGUUAAAAUACCAUUCAUUAUUCUCCACAGAAUAACAACUGUAUUUUGAGAAUAGAUAAUUAGAUUAUGAUAUUAAUAUGGAGUCCGUUCAUGCACAAAGUGCAAAUUUUGAUUUCGUUUUAUGGCCUUAUGUGCAGCUGUCAUUUUACUUUAUCACCCCAUUUCUUCAUAGACAAAAUCUCUGGUCCAUGUUGCUUUCUGUAACAAAAUUAAUGAGAAGUCUGCUAGCACUCAUAUAUAUUUCCAAUCUAUUGAUUGUAGAUGCUAAUGUUGGGAGCUGUGCUAAAACUAGUCUCACUGGCCACCAACUGGGGUGCUGGUUAGAACUGUCUAGUGCUUUUAAUCCCACUUCAUUCAGUUUGGUACGUGUACUUCUACAAGUAUUUUUCAGUUGUUAAAUCUAUUUAAUGGGAUUUUUUUUGUUGUUGUUCUGGAAUUCAGCUCUUCCUAUUUGACAUUUUUUCAUUGAAAAAAAAACAAACAACUUGAUAAUGCUUCCACUUAACUUGGUCUAAUAAACACCUCCACAGGAUACUGUUGUUACCUCAUAAAAAGGGAGAAACCUCAAUUUAUGUUCUAAUUUAUAUCCAUGGGUUUUAAUGUACUUUCUAAAAGUGCUUGUAUUGUGAAACAAACCAUGAUAUCUUCAGUGUGUAUUAAACAACAAAAAAGGAGUAGUUGGUCUAUGCAUCACAAAUGUUUUGCCAUUUCACAAGAUGGUAAGUCACCCUAAGUUGUUUUUUUUUUUUUCUAAAAGUGUACAUGGGAUUGUUUGAUACCACAACAAGUGAAGUAUGUGACAUCAAUAGAAGCAAUAGAAUGAUUAUACUAGCAGAGUACCAAUUAAAAAGGGAAGACAGUGUUUUCUUUCUGUGUCUACAGAUUUGUUCCUCGUAAUUAUAGAAGUCAUAGAAGCAAAUUAAUCUAGUUUUCUGUACUAUUGUUAUACUAUAUAUAUGUUUCUAUAGAAUACUUAUUUGCCUGUUGAAGUACUUGAAAGGAAAAGUGCACUGCCACAUAUUGAGGAUGUUACUUUAUACUCAUGGGGCCUGAUCUAUGGUCCAUAGAAAGUCUAUCAAUUUUAAUGGACUUGGGCCACUUCUGUGAUUCUUAGCUGCAUGUUUAUGUAUUUUCUGUAAGAAGAUGUAAAAGAUUGUUGAAAAUGAUGAGUUAUUUAAAAAUCAAUUUUCUGUAACUGAGAUGGCAACAUGCCCAAAGUGUUCUUACCCUAGCACUUGACAUUCCUGUAGUUUCACAUGAUGAAAUUUCUGGAGCUUGGAUUUGCCCUUUUAACCUCUCUGUAGUCAGAUACACAAACCUAUAUGAAAAUACCUUUCUGUUUUCAAAUGCAAUUAUUUAAAGUUAUUAUUAAAGUUAUAAUUAUUUAAAUAAUUUGAAGUCAUUUCCCCUCUUUGUCUGUAUUUGUUAAGACACUGCAUUAACUGCUGUAUACUGCUUUUUCCCCGAAGGAUUUCAGCUUCGUUCACUGUAUGGAAAAAACCUCUGUAGUCAUGUGAUGAAUUGGAUUUUUUUUCUGAAAAACUCCUGCCUUAUUUGUUGCAAAAUUUGGAAUACAUACCAUUUGAAUGAAGCAGGAACUGUAGAAAGAAAAUUUAAGUGUAAAGAUAAUCGGACUGCUACUCAAUGAAUACGGAUUCUGUCCUUGCCUCUAUGUACUUUUUAUGUAAGCUUAGAAGUAAUUUGAUGGAAUUUUCUUUUCUUUCCAUGUAUUUUUUUUUUUUUUUAACACAAGAUUCAUGUUAUUCUUUGCCAGCCAUCUAAUUUAAGUACGUUGAUGUCAUAAGCUGUUGUCUAAAGAGGUCAUUCCAGUUGGCUCUGGCCAGUUUCAGAGUGAUGCCUAUGCACUUGUAGUACUGCUGAUUGUGCGUGUUCAUGGUCAGACAGACCAGCUGAUCCAGCUGAAAACUUAACAUGCAAAAAAACCACCUGAAACUAUUAUUUUUCAUCUAAAUCAACUGUGAAUUCAACUCACUGGACAGCCUUAAAAAUAGAAGUGCCAACAUAUGGGUGGAAAAAAGAAUGCAAGGCUACCUCUCUCUGUUGAUGGUAGCAGACCCUUGAGGGAUUGACCUCACAAUGUAGACCUCUAAAUUAGGUGCCAGUCAUUAAGCAAUAUGAUUAUCCUGCGUAUGUUCUGCUAAAAGUUUACAUUUGAGAGUGUCGUUGCACUAAAUGCUAAGCACUGUCAAUGGAGCUGAAUUUAAUGACAGUCAAACCUUGAACAUACUGGCACAGUACUCUGAAAAAUCAGGUCCUGGGUGUACUCUACUGGAGAGCCCAAAUCAGUGAACAGCUUUUGGCUAAAUCAUUCAAGUUGAUUUCUCUCAUCCACAUAUACAUGAAUUUAAAAAUAUAUACACACGUGCAGAAGUAUACAAAAAUAUACAUGACAGAGGAGAAUGUGUUUUGAAAAUACAUAUACUAGUAUAUUUUUUUGCUUGUGCUUAUUCAAUAAGAUGCUAUUGUAAUACUUAAUAUGUCUGACAUGAACAGUUGGCAGUAAAGAGUGAGGCCAAAUUUUGAAUUUAAGAGUUAAAAUAAGUACAGAAGAGGUGCACUAUUUUCUGUGUAAGUAAGGCAAAGGAGGGGAAAAUUAGAAAUUAGGAGCUGUUUUGUAAUACAGGUAAAGAAUAGGACUGAAAUGAGGUUGUACAUCAAAAUGCGUGGUAUCAUGUACAAGUUUCACAGUUUUUGACAUAGUAACAAUGGUGUUAUGAUGUAAAAAUAAAAGUACAAAAUUAUUAAUACAGCUAGUGAAAUAAAAAGUAUACUUGCUUAUAGAUUGCAUUAAGGUUUUUUGUUAAUUAGCAACAUUUUAUAAUUUUGUAGUAUAUUUCUGAAGCGUUGUUAUGAGACAGCAAUGCUCUGCUGAAUUGCCUCAUUAUUUUUAUUAACUUCACAGAAACAUAGUACCUCAGAGUAACUAGGUACCUUGUCUGUAUCUCUUCUUACAGCCAGAAGGAUUUCAAAUAGAAAAGGUUAUUGUAAUGCUGAUCCACUUCUCCCAUAUUUCUUUGGAAGUGUAUGCAAGCCCAGUUCUUUCAGUCCUUUCUUGUAAGUAAUUUUUCUGAAAGGGUUGUCAUUUUUUUGCUCUCUAUACUUCGCAACAUCUUUCUUAAAAUCCAGUGCAAACACUGCUUCAGCUGAGGCAUUUCCUUUUGCUGAGUAGAAUAAAAAUUCUCAUAUUUUCUAAGCAAGAUUCCUAUGUGCUGCUUCUCAUAUUAACUACUAAAAAAUCAGUGUGAGUUUUUUAUUCUGCCUUUGCUCACUCUCCAGUCUAUUAUGCUAGCAUAUAGAAAUAGCACCAUAAGGGGAAAGCAAACUAUGUGUAGCACAAUGAAUAUGCUGGUCUGUCUCCUAUAGGAGGGAAUUCAGUGUGCAAAGUAUAAGAAAAUAAGAUUCAAAAAUACUAGUGGAUGAACACUGUAAUAUAGAUAUUAGAUAUUUUUUCAUGGAACAUAGUAAUAGCAUUACAGUUUCUUGAGUGUUCCAUUUCUUCUGUUACCCAUUUAUUCUUUCUAACACAUGUAAAACAUAUUUGACGUUUAUAAUAAUGGAAUUAUUAGGCAUGUUACUGACAUCAAGGUUUAAGGGACUGGGUGACACAGGGAAUUUAUGUUCCACUUUAAUCCAUUUAUCAGCCUCCUCUGGGAACAGAUUUUAAAUCUAACUCAAGCCAUACCAAUUUGGGGGGAAAAACCUGCUUAAUCCAACAGCUUGCAAAACAUGUAAAUGUAUGAAAUUUUUGUCUAGGUUCCCCCUCACCUCUCUUUUUUAUGAAGGAAAAUAUUAAUGGUUUAUAUGAUGACUUACUCUUUGAAAUCACAUGGCUACUUGUUCAGAUCUGUUGUUUUUAAGUUCAAGAAUUAAGAGAGAAUAUGAUACUGCUGCAUGAUACAGAUGUAUGAAAUAUUAAAUAAUUGAAAUACAAAAGUAUAUGAUUCCAUAGAGUAGUAAGUAGGUAGCCAUUAAUUACUUCUUUACACAUCAGAGCAAAUUUCUUUUCAAUUAUAAAAAUAUUUUUAUUGAUUAUUGGUGCUUUUUUGUUGUUGUUGUUUUAUUUCUUUUUCCUUGGUUGUUGUUUUGUUUUAAUUUUGACAGGGAGGAAAACUUUUGAGUGUAUUUCUAUUAUGCAAAUGUAUACAGAAGCACUAAAACCAGUUGAUUCAAGGGUAUGUGAAGAGGCAGUGUAGGUUGCCUAAACUUAGUCAGUCUGACUAAGUUUAAACUGCCUCAGUCAGUCCUGACCAAGGUUGGCUGUUCCCCUGUAAUAAAACUAGUUUGCUCUUUCUGAUCUACAAACUUAAUGAAGAUUUCACUUGGUUAAUAAUGAGUUGUAUAAAACCAGUCUCUGAAGUACCCUAGUGUGAAUCCAAAAUCAUUGAAUGCUAAUGUGAGCAGGAUCAAAAUUGGGCAUAUUAUAUGACUCAUGCUGAUGUGGUCAAUUAUCUUUAUAAUGUAAGGAAUGAUAAGAGAAGAAUUAUUGCCAGUCCUUGAUUUUUGACAUUGGCAUUGAAGCACAUAUCUGGAGAAAUUCAACUUGAGAACCAUGUAUUGUACAUGUUCAGUCAGAAUAAUUUCCAACAUACUGAGAUGCCAAUCUUAGGGUUUAAGAUGAAAAAUACACUCCUAUUAGUCAAAUAUUUAUGAGUAGAACCCAAUGUGUUUAAACCUUGUUGACCUUUACAUAGUUAUGACAUAUAUAUCAUCUCUUGGUUAUCCUUACUGUUGCUUUGUUCUAGAAAAAGUAAAACAAGAGGUUAAGUAGUCCCUAAGGGUAAGUUAAAACAUAGGCUACUGCCAUGUUGCAUGGCAGUCUUUCAAGGCAAGUUGAUGAGACUGCUCAAAGCAAUACAAGAGCUUACUAGAUUAUGCCAUUUGAGAUAAAAAUGUAUUUUUGAAAGAGUUUAUGAUUUCCACAUUUAGUUCUAGUACUGUAAACAAUAUAUUUGAUAGUAUUUGUGUUAUAUAUGUAAGGCCUAAUUCCUGUGUUUCUCUUUAAGCAAUUGCAUUCAAAAUGAGUUUAAAAUUUUAUCUAAUUUUCUAACAUUUAAAUGUUCUUUCUGAUUCAAGGCUGGAAGGAAAGUCACCAUGAUCAUUUAGUCUGAUUUCUUGCUUAAUAUAUAUUUUAGAUACUUCUUUCAUUAAUUACUGCUUAUAAUUCAGCACCUGAAUUAGCAGGCAUCAUUUUGAGACAAAAUGGUACCCAAAAAUAUAUUUAGAACUUAAUUAAAAAUCAUCCAGAAAUACAGACCCUUACUAAAUUCAUUGUGGUUAAUUACUUUUAGUGUCAAUUGUAAGUAACCUGAUUUGAACUUGUACAGCUAUAUUUUUAUCACUUAGUUUUGCUGUGUCUUGUUUUCCUGAUUUUGGUCAGUUAAAUAGUAAAUAUAUCGAUAUAAAGUGAAUGUUGCUGCUCAGAUCACCUCUUAAACUUUUCUUUGAGAAGUUAAACAGAUGAAGUUCGCUAAGGUUCUAAACACUAAAUUUGUUGCUGAUGUUCUUCAAAGGCCUUCUUUAAGCAUUUUGUUUUGUAAUCAGGCUAAAUUUAUGUAUUGUUAUGAAAGCAGCUUCACUGAGAAGAAUGUUGGGGUCCUGGUGGACAGCAAGCUGACUGUGAGCCAGUGAUGCACCCUCAUGGCAAAAAUGGCCAAGAGUAUCUUGGGCUGCAUUUGGAGGAGCAUUGUCAGCAGGUCCAUGACUUCUCUCUGCUCAGCAGCACUGAUGAGGCUGACUCUGGAAUACUGUUUGUAGUAGUUGGCAAUAAUGUUGUAGCGGAAUCUCAGCUGACCAUAACAUUUUCUCAGCACUGGAAACUUCUCCAGAAAUACAGUAGUGACAUGGAAAUAUUUCCUGUAUCUUGUGGACACUUUGCACCAGUUGGAAGGAUGGCUUUCUUUCUACCUUGAAACUAAUUUUUAUGUAAUUAUGUUUACAUAAUUUUUAUGUAAACACUGAUGUACUUAAAGCAGUUAUUUGCCCGCUGACUGCAGAAAAUAAAUAAAUAAUA